RNAcentral lists this ribosomal RNA (220 nucleotides) under uncultured bacterium. RNAcentral's name for it is "partial 16S ribosomal RNA". It matches the Rfam family "Bacterial small subunit ribosomal RNA", at positions 96 to 334 of the family's 1533-position model. The record is from RNAcentral.
UGGCGGACGGGUGAGUAACGCGUAAGAAUCUACCUAUAGGUUCGGGACAACAGUUAGAAAUGACUGCUAAUACCGGAUAUGCCUUCGGGUGAAAGUUAUAAUGCCUGUAGAUGAGCUUGCGUUCGAUUAGCUAGAUGGUGGGGUAACGGCCUACCAUGGCGACGAUCGAUAACUGGUCUGAGAGGAUGACCAGUCACACUGGGACUGAGACACGGCCCAG